AGUAGUACAUGCAAGUCGAACGAACUCUGGUAUUGAUUGGUGCUUGCAUCAUGAUUUACAUUUGAGUGAGUGGCGAACUGGUGAGUAACACGUGGGAAACCUGCCCAGAAGCGGGGGAUAACACCUGGAAACAGAUGCUAAUACCGCAUAACAACUUGGACCGCAUGGUCCGAGUUUGAAAGAUGGCUUCGGCUAUCACUUUUGGAUGGUCCCGCGGCGUAUUAGCUAGAUGGUGAGGUAACGGCUCACCAUGGCAAUGAUACGUAGCCGACCUGAGAGGGUAAUCGGCCACAUUGGGACUGAGACACGGCCCAAACUCCUACGGGAGGCAGCAGUAGGGAAUCUUCCACAAUGGACGAAAGUCUGAUGGAGCAACGCCGCGUGAGUGAAGAAGGGUUUCGGCUCGUAAAACUCUGUUGUUAAAGAAGAACAUAUCUGAGAGUAACUGUUCAGGUAUUGACGGUAUUUAACCAGAAAGCCACGGCUAACUACGUGCCAGCAGCCGCGGUAAUACGUAGGUGGCAAGCGUUGUCCGGAUUUAUUGGGCGUAAAGCGAGCGCAGGCGGUUUUUUAAGUCUGAUGUGAAAGCCUUCGGCUCAACCGAAGAAGUGCAUCGGAAACUGGGAAACUUGAGUGCAGAAGAGGACAGUGGAACUCCAUGUGUAGCGGUGAAAUGCGUAGAUAUAUGGAAGAACACCAGUGGCGAAGGCGGCUGUCUGGUCUGUAACUGACGCUGAGGCUCGAAAGUAUGGGUAGCAAACAGGAUUAGAUACCCUGGUAGUCCAUACCGUAAACGAUGAAUGCUAAGUGUUGGAGGGUUUCCGCCCUUCAGUGCUGCAGCUAACGCAUUAAGCAUUCCGCCUGGGGAGUACGGCCGCAAGGCUGAAACUCAAAGGAAUUGACGGGGGCCCGCACAAGCGGUGGAGCAUGUGGUUUAAUUCGAAGCUACGCGAAGAACCUUACCAGGUCUUGACAUACUAUGCAAAUCUAAGAGAUUAGACGUUCCCUUCGGGGACAUGGAUACAGGUGGUGCAUGGUUGUCGUCAGCUCGUGUCGUGAGAUGUUGGGUUAAGUCCCGCAACGAGCGCAACCCUUAUUAUCAGUUGCCAGCAUUAAGUUGGGCACUCUGGUGAGACUGCCGGUGACAAACCGGAGGAAGGUGGGGAUGACGUCAAAUCAUCAUGCCCCUUAUGACCUGGGCUACACACGUGCUACAAUGGAUGGUACAACGAGUUGCGAACUCGCGAGAGUAAGCUAAUCUCUUAAAGCCAUUCUCAGUUCGGAUUGUAGGCUGCAACUCGCCUACAUGAAGUCGGAAUCGCUAGUAAUCGCGGAUCAGCAUGCCGCGGUGAAUACGUUCCCGGGCCUUGUACACACCGCCCGUCACACCAUGAGAGUUUGUAACACCCAAAGUCGGUGGGGUAACCUUUUAGGAACCACCCGCUAUACACGGUG
RNAcentral lists this ribosomal RNA (1455 nucleotides) under Lactiplantibacillus plantarum. RNAcentral's name for it is "bacterial SSU rRNA". It matches the Rfam family "Bacterial small subunit ribosomal RNA". The record is from RNAcentral. Lineage: Bacteria; Bacillati; Bacillota; Bacilli; Lactobacillales; Lactobacillaceae.